Xyrichtys novacula (pearly razorfish) is the source of this 9457-nucleotide non-coding RNA. The record is from the annotation of a GenBank genome assembly. NCBI's taxonomy places the organism in Eukaryota, Metazoa, Chordata, Actinopteri, Labriformes, Labridae.
CAGCUCCAUUGUUGGCUUGAACAAAAAGGCUGUAAUGAUUUUUUGGUAGCAUCCAUACACAGCCCAGUCAGCGCCUGCUCCCCCUCCACACUCGACGAGCGACUUUAUCUCCCGGCGAGCCAGAGAGCUGAUUAAACAUUUUCACCUGCGGCUCGGCCCUCGUCCGUUCAAAAAAAAGGCGAAAAGUCUGAUCUCAGCAGACAGGAGGGUAAUUGAAGUUUCACCUUAGUUUCAUCCACAGUGAAGUUCACAGAUUAAUAUAAAGGCAAAAGGGAGGUCAGUGUCCUUGGCAGCUUACAGUUUCACACUAUUUUUGGACUGAUUUUUAUGGUUUUCACUUUUGACAACAAAAAUUAUGAUGUGACGAAGACAACGAUGUGUGUCUUUGUGAAGUCCUCGGAGAAGCAGUCCUGUUAAAAUGAAAAAAAAAAGAACAACCACUUUCAGGGUGGCGAGUGGGUCCUCGACACAUUUUAAUGGGUCAACUACUUGUGAAAAUGAAAAAUGAAGAAAUGCACCUGGGUCCUUCCUGCAGGGAGCCGUCCUCACCACACAACCUACUGAGUAAGGAGGCUGUUUCUCCUUUUACCACAGCAGUUUAAGAACUGGAUUCUAUGAAUAUUGUUCCUCCUUGAAAUUUAUAUGAAAACUGUUUGAAAAUAAGUCAUUCUUAUUUUUUACAAUGCCACUAUUAUCCCAGAAGUUCAGGUUUUAUAAACACGCGACAUGUACAGGGGUGAUGCACAAAAAUAUAGGCAGGGAUGGGUAUGGAGAUAACAGCAGACACGGGUUUGUCCAUAGGGGGCGCCAAAACUGGCACAAACUUCAGGUUCCUCACAGGAGUUAUAACUAUAAGGCCUAACCAAUGCUCUCUUCACAUGCAGGGGGGUCAUUUCUGUCAGACAGACAGCACUUUGACGGGUCUGAUCUGCACCUUUGUACAUGCACAGGCUCUCUCUUCCUGUCUUCUCUUACCAACUUAAAAUAAAGUUUAUUUUCGUUGCUACAUUAACAUAAAACUAAUCUACUUAUAACAAUGAAAGCCUUUUGCAUCUUUCAUAUCUUUUUUUUGCAAGUUUUCUGUUAGAUUAAACACUCUUGAAUGUCUCUAGCCAAUCUAAUUCGGGUGUUAAAGCAAUAAACAGAGUUCUCUCAUGAGAUCUGUGUGAUAUUAAAUCACUCAGUUUAGAAAUAACCAGAGUGAAUCUUCCUGUACUGUUUGCUUCAAAUAGGAAACCAGAAUAUCUAAAAUACGAGUAAAAAUAAAUAAGUAUCUGUAUCAGUAUCGGGACUGAUAUAUGGCCCUCAUUUCCUUUCUUUGAGGAAAGGCCCCUAAGUCCGACGCCCCAGCAUUUGGACCUUGUAAAGUAGCACAUAUCAAGCUUUUUUCCUAGAUUUGAAUAACUAAAAGAGAAGGAAAUUACCCCACUGUAACACAAGAAUCAAUAAUCAUGCUUCUGUAAAGCUUGUUGGAUGUGUCUCGAAUGCUGAUUAGAUUUCAGACGUUACUGCUGGUCUUUAUGUCGAUGCUAAAAACGCUCUCACACAGGCUGAACUAAUCUUGGUCCUUUUAUUAUCUGUCAGGACUGGCUGAUCACACUGUGGCUUCUGCAGCAGGAGAGCAGCAUGACCUCCUCUAUUUGAGAGGCCACUCUAUACUAGGCCUGAACGAUAUAUCGUUUGACAUCGCAGAGCCUGCGAUAUUGGAGGUGAAUGAACUCAUUUAAUUUCAAGGGUAACCGACUGAGAUACACUCCAUGUGACUCUGCAUGUGCUGUGCAGCGAUCCACCAAUCGCCUUCGUCCUUAACUCAGUUGCCAAUCAGACUCACUUCUCAGCUGCCAAUCAGACUACCCUGCCAGCUGUCAAUCAAAAUCAGGGAGGAGAAAACCCACCCCUGCACAUGUUCUGCACAUGGAGGGAGACGUGUGUCCGCUGAGAAUUACUUUCGGAACUUUACUCAUGACUAUUAAGCCCAACAAAUAAGAACUGUAUGGGUUUUAAAUUGUACAUUUCCGUGGACCACUCCACUAUAAGCAGUGCGCGUUUUGCGAGGUGCAUGCAAUUCUCGGAGGACAUGCGUUUCUCGGUACAGCACCGCUAACAACAACAACAACGAUCGCAAAAUGAACAACGAACAAGCGAAAACCACCGAAAAUGAAGAUUUGUUGCCAAAAAGAAAAGGAAAGUCAGUUAUCUGGAAUUAUUUCGGUUAAAGAAGGAUGAUGUCGACCAAAACACGUCUUCUGUGUUCAUCUGUUUCCACAAUAACGUCCCAGCACAAUAAAAGCUAAAAAUAUCUCUGAGACAGACAGAAGCCGUUCUACUAACAUUCACAAAAAGAGGUAAGAUCAGUGCAGAUUAACUGUCCUCAAGAUUUCAGCAGUGCAGCAUAACAUUAAGUGCUAUUCAGGUCAUCUGGUGAAAAUACUGUAUUUUUAAUAUCGCAAUAUAUAUCGCAGGGUUGAAAAAAUCGCAAUAUUAUUUUUUUCCAAUAUCGUGCAGCCUUACUCUAUACCUUACUACUGUGCUGCAGAGAGCCUGAAAAAAAAUACAUUUUUCUUCAUUGAAAUCUUGGUGUGAGUAAUGGGCUCCACCAGGACACAUUAUUUUCCUCCAAAGAUAGAGCUGUCUUUGUUAUUUCAGGUUUGAUUCCUGUAUUUGUGCCUUUGACCUUGCUAGUCUAUGUAGGACAGAAAAAAAAGGUUUGAAGUCUUUACACCCUCACUCUUCUAUGACCCAGAAAAAAAACAGUGUUGCAAAAGUUGUUUCGUAAAUAUCACAUCUUCUCUGUUCUCUUCAAGUAAAUUCUUUGAAUGUGUUACUUUUUAGCCUCAAAUUAAAGAGUGUUUCAAUCGGCUCGGUUGUCAACUAGCCUGAGGCUAGUAGCCUGUUGUCACCUAGCUUCCUGGCUCAGAAGGUUUGGUUGAGCUAAGGUGUCGCUGUGAAAUCUCUAUGCGAUUGACUGCGUAUUUAAAAUGAACAGCACUCCUCCCUGUGCUGUCCACUGAUUCAUGGCAGACAAUUAUGACUUGGGUAAGUUCAAUAACUGUUGUGAUAGUAGAUUUGUACACAUUGGGAUAUUGUUGGGUGGGUUACCGGUUCAAACCGAAUAUCUGUGUUAUUAUUAUUUUUUUUUUAUGGUCUGAUUUUUAAAAAAUAUUUCCAAUACUGGUGAGUGUGUAGCAUACAAAACGUUGGGAACACAAAGUGGCAGAAUGUUGUGUUGCUGGACAGUAUUUGACAGGGGGCUGUUUUCAGUUGCACCAAACAAGCAGCAAACACGGUGAAAGUUCUGAAAGUGAGGUUAAAUAAUGGAUCAGGAGAACUUGUACUGAAAAGAGGAGCCGUGUCUGUUGUUUGGAAGUUCUUCAUUUUUAAAAAAAUCCAACGUUGAUCAAACAACAAUAUUCUGCAAAUGUUGUCAGGCUAAAGUUGUAGCUGCUGGAGGCAACAGAAGCAAUUUACUUCACCACCUCAGCCACAAGCAUGUCUUGGAAUAUAAAGAAUGCAUGAAACUACGAUCUGCGUCCUUCACGUCUGCAGGUAAAAUCGGCACUGCGGGAGAAAAGUAGAGUCAGAUGUCAUUCAAAGAUGCGUUUGCUAGGGAGACUUCCUAAAACAAGAAAACCAGACGAUUGUGGACAUUAAUGUUUUUUCACUCCUCAUGACAGUAAAAUAUGUCAUUCAAAGCCAAUUUACUGCAGUAAUUAUUCUCCAAGUUAUUAGAAAAUGAGAUUAACACACAGUCGUGCUUUAAAGAAAUUACUGUCAAAUACAUUGAAAGAGUUAUAAUUUUGAAAAAUACCAUGGUAUAAAUUUUUGAUCAUACCACCCAGCACUACAUUGCGACUUCAAGAGACCUACCAUCACUACACCAUUACUUGUACACUGUACCCCUGACAAGAUAUAAUUUUAGUGUCACAACACAUCAGUGGAGGUGCAAGAGGGAAAGGAGCACCUCAUGUACAUUUAGACAUGCACGUAAACACACACACAGGGCUGUUCUGCCCUACUGGCUCUGAUGCCGCACAUUGCCACCAUCUGAGGGAGGGCAGCAUUUCUCCGCCAUUAUUCUUGGUGUGUUUAUGUUUUCAGAUUUAAACUUUGUUUUGAAAGGACUUAUGUCGAGCUUUUUCAUCAGUAGUCAUUUGUGGUGUUUACAGUCUGUUAUUCUCCGUUUUUAUUUAUGUAGUUUGUAAGAGUCUGCCCCAUGCAUGAGGGAUGCAAGAAAGAGGAUGAAUGCAUGCACUCCAGCAUCAUCAUUGUUUUAAUUUCAUCCUAUUACUGUGACCCCAUUUACUGUUUACUCUCAGCUGUUUCUGCUAAUGCAAACUGAACAUCACUGCUGCUGCGCCCCAUUAAAAGCAUUCAGCUAGUUACCCAUGCAAUCAAAAAGGCAUCUCCUUAACAAGACACAAUGUUCAUUUUCAUCCUUUUUCAUUGAGAAUUGAAACGCUGCACGGAUUAGGCAGACACAGUGAGCUGUUAAAUGAAGAGCUGCAGGCAGACUUUGCUGCUCCAACUUUUCAACACGCUUUUACCGAGCACGUUUGCUGUCAAGAGAACAACACAACUUUAAGCAGAUGUCAUGGUUGGGAGUUGUAUUCCUGACACAGCUGCUGUGAAAUAAAAAAAAAUAAACGCUGUUAUCAAAAGUUACUACAAAUCAGCCAAACUGGAAGGACUGGAAUAUUUGACAUUAAUUUGACAUUUCCGAAGUCUUUGGCUUGAAUCUUGUCUGCAGCAGGUCUUUUGUGUAGACUUAACAAGCUCGUUAUUUUCCACGGGUUUACUCAAGGUGCUCUGUUCCCUUUGCUUUCAAAAUCACGGAUAGUAACUUUGUUUAGCUCCUCUGCUUUGGCCCUGAAAGUUUCAUUUACACCAUCAACAGAGUGCCACUGUAAAUCCUCAAAUAGAAACCAAGCUUCUAUUUGCUUUUACGAAAUCUACCAGGCCUUAAUAAGAAGCAGACUUGAACUAGAAGCAGGUCUCCUCCUGACCUCCUGUUAGAGCAGAAAACCAAUUCCCUUCACUGAUCUGUCGCCUGUUGGUGAAUGCCCUGAUGUUAUAAUGCUCUCUUUUCCAAAUGUAAACAAGCACAGACAACCAAUGGCAUGUUGUCUAGCAGCAGUUAGAUCUAGAAAACAGAGACGAAGUUGAUUGUAGUUUGUGUCUAGUUAACUCAACACAAUGCAAAACAAGCACAUGCAUGUGGGUGAGUGAAGGCUGGUGGUGCUAGCUCUGCUAAUGUUAACCCCACUCUACAAAUCAAUGUCACAUUGUUUACCUGCAGACCCUGCGAUGGCAUUUUUAGAUGUGUUAAAGAUGUGCUUAAUUCUGGCUGUUUUCAAACCUUUAGACCAGUUAGUUAGCUAAAUUACUGUUGAAAUACCUGGGAAAUCAGUUGCACAAGGACACCUCUGUCAGUUUCAUUCUUAUGCGCCAAUGAAAAUAUUGGGCAUGUGAUUUAUUUUCAACUUGGGACACUUUUUCAAAAGAUUAAGCUAUAAAAACCUGUUCACUAACGGGCUUUUAUGUAACUUUCAACAAAUGUUGAAUGUCUUCCUGGUGGGCAGAUUUUAAUCGACUGCAAAAGAGAUGUGGACAAAGAGGCAUUCACACAUGAAAUAGCUGUAAAACUGAGGAAAAAACAAGACUUGGAUUUUAAAUGAAGUUGAAAAGUUUUCUGAAAUGAAAAUUAGCAACACAAAAAUAACACUCCCAUUCAAAAAGUCUUUCACACGGGUUGUUUGGUUCAGUUCGCUCUGCAUCAGCGUGUGCCACCCGAAACAUGUGAUUCGUAAUUUAAUCAAUCAAUCAAUCAAUCAACUUUAUUUCUAUAGCACAUUUUAAAAUAACCACAAGGGUAGUCAAAGUGCUGUACAUAAAACAAAUAACACAAAGAGCAAGAUAAAGUGAGCAGAAAUACAUUAAUGCAAGGGGAUAAAUAAGUAAAUAAAUAAGCAGGCUCACGGCAGGUGCUAAAAUGAUAAAAAACAAAGUAACACUAAAAAGUAUCAAAAGCCAAGGAGUAAAAGUGUGUCUUUAAAAGGGAUUUAAAAACAGGAAAUGAGGCUAAGACAUUAUUUUAUAAAACAAUAAAAUAUAUAUUUUAAUGCAGAAAUGAUCCUUUUCGUUAAUAAGUUCCGGGAUAUGCUGAUCAUUUCCUCUGGCUACCUCACCUCUGCUCCCAGCUCAGUCAAUGUCAACCCCCUUCUCUGGCACAUCUGCUGCAGCACCUUUCAUCUCACCCCUUAAUAUCCACCGCUGAUGCAAGGAUCAAGCAGAUGGCGUGUACACACUCACACUCGCACACAGACAUGGAUGAACACACAGGUACCUGGUACACAGACCCUUGUUUGUUUUCUCUUUUAAAAGGGUGGAAGUCAGCCGAAAUGGUGAACUGGACAGUUAGUGUUGCAGGGUGAGAUUAAUCAGUACACAGAGAGGGGCUGCAGGUUACACAGGGGGAUAAGGCCGUUUUGAAUGCCUGAUUAGGCUUGAUGUGUGAAGUGAUGCCUCUGCUCGGCCGUCUGUUUCCAUUAGAAGUGGAGUGUACAAGACACCAGCAAUAGUUCAAGGACGUUUGGGAGAUGCAAGGUUUGCAGUUUGGGGAAAAAUAUAUUUCUCUAGUGCAAAAUGCAGACCAAGAAACUCACCUGAGUCCCUACUUUCACCCAAGGAACUAUGAUUUUAGUAACUGCCUUUAUCUGUAUGUUUGCUGCAAACUCUGCUCAUGCAUUGUGACAAAUUGACGGAAUUAGUAAAUACUACAGAUGUUGCAUACUAACCUAAAUGUUUGACCUCUAGAGCUUUGGUGUUAAGCUGCAGGGAUUGUUUUGCUGACAAGGUUCAGAUAUUUCCGUGUCCCUAUGGGAGACUUGUACCUUUGAAUCAAUACAGGAUUAUUCUAAAGGAUAUGUGGAAACAUUUCCAUCCCAAUGGUCUGUUGAGGCCAUCGCAAUUGAUUCUCUACCAACAACUUGGGUUGGGAUGUUUCCAAUCGAUUUAUUUUCAAGUCAUUUUAAUGGAAAAUUAAAGUCCAACAAACCAAGACAGUCAAAAUAGAGUGAACUUAUUCAACAUAACUCAACAAUUCCCCUAUCUAUAUACAGAGAGUCUACUGAUUUUGUAAACCUGUCACACAUUUGUAUACAUAUCGGAAAGAUAUCAUAAUUGUAUUUUUGUUGUUUGUUAUGUUCAGUUCCUAUAUUUUGGGAUUUGUUGCAUGAGUCACAUGACCACUGUUUCAUUAGUACUUUUAUUCCUGCAUGUAGUUUAAUAUCCAUGUCAAUUAUCUGGUGAUUCGUAUCUUUUAAAAAGGAUCAAAUGCAUGAGUCUAACUUCGUGUACUCAUAAAGUCUCUCCAGGAUGGCUCACCCAUGGUGCAAAGGAGGUCACUGCAUGUUUUGAUGGGUGUGUAACAAGGUGAAAUGGCCUUCAGCAGAUCUGACCAGAAUGAACUCUGUUAUUUGUGUUUCAUUUUUACUUUCUUGGCCUCUCAACCACUAUUAGAAGAACAAAUGAUGGGAUAUCUAUUUGAAAAGUUGUUUCCAUCGUUCUUAUAAAGCUCAAAUCUCAAUGCCAAAGUUUAUUGAAGCUGUUUUGGCCUGAAGCCUUACUUCAAGACAAAUAGGAGUUAUUUUUAUCCUUUAAUUUGUAUUCUGUCUGUAAUGAAUAAUGAAACGUUCUCCUAAAAGAAACAAACUGAAUGUCACUGAUAUAGAAAUGGAUUAUGAUAUCGAUCCUGUCAGGGUAGUUCUAGAGGGGUAUCUGAAAUGUGUAGAGAUAUAGACACAUAUUUUAACUGCGGGUGGAUAAACUCCAAGUUGUGUUAAAUGAAAAUCUAAUAUUCAUGUCUGGCUACUUUUAAGAUGUAUGAAUGUUUUUAGGAGAAUAUAGACCAAUAGGGAGUUAAUUUUUUUAUGAAGCUGGGGACCAUAUCUGCUACAGCAAGCCAAAGCUUUAAAGAUACAGCGUCUGCUCUCUUUGCAUCUUUGCAGCCAAGUGAUGCAGAGUAGGAGAAACCAUUUGAUGUCUUAUUAUAAAGACAUUCAACCAACGUCAUAAAGUGUAGAUUUAAUCAUGUUUAUAGAAGAUCAAUCAUGAUAAAGCAUUUGGAAUCAAUUUCAAAUGAUAGUCAAAAGAUCGCUAAAAUCGUAGGAAUAACAUUGUUGACACCAAAACAUCAUCUGCUAUAUGACGCUUUCGGUAAAAGCCGAGAAGUGAGAGAACAUUUGAUGUGAAAGAAAUACUUCAAAUAUAAAGCAAACAAAGAGUUAAAAAAAUACACACAAAAAUGUACAAAAAAUGCAGACUAAAAUGAAAAUAACAAAAAAAAAAAAAAAAUGUACAGAUUAAAGGCGUGUUCGUGAAAAAUUAAAAAACAAAACCUGGCACUUCCUUCACAGACAUAUGUGCGAGUAUUGUGCGCACUCUUUAAGUCAGAACAUAUGCAACACAAAGCCCGGUUAAAGACACUGAAUUGGGCGGCUGCUGCUGCUGCUAGUGUAUGCAGAUGGAGAGUGGGAGGAGAGUGAUUUACUGUGAAGGGACAGAGAUGGUGGUUGGGGUGCUGAGGAGGAGGAGGGGGGGAGUUGUAGAAAGCUGAACUGCUCUGUUAGAGCAAGUGUGCGGCUUUACUAACGCCAUGCAUUAAUGUUGAAUGGAGAAAAACAUAAUGAAAUAUAUAUCACAGCAUGAUUGCUUUUCAUUUAGAGCAUGUUUGAGUGUAAAUCAACAUUUCAUAUGUUUUUUUUAAGUGUCUUCAGUGCAGUUGUUUAUUAGGGGUGGGUGAUAUUGUCUUUGAUUUACGUGGCAGUAUUUCAUGGAAUUUUGCUAAAGUGGUGUGUGUGAUUCUAUGGCGAAAAUCAAAGCUAUUAUGUGCUUGAAUAUGUUCUAAUUAAUCCUACCUUGUAUCAUAAAGGUCAUUUUGAACAGUUACAAAUUAAACUCAUAUCUUCUUAUUAUUUUUUUCUGCUUUUCACCCCAAAGAAAGAUCUGCUGUCACACCUUUUAUAGCUGUAUAAGCAUGAGUUUGUAUAAUCUCAUAUGGGAAUACAAUGUUUCCCUCUUGCUUUUUCGCUUUGGCCAGGGAGUUGGGGGGUGGGGUGGUGUCGUAAGACAUGGGCAUGCAUCACCCAUUAUGGCGUAUACGUCAUACAGGGUGGCGGGAGUUGAGCCAGCGCUAUUUUCGAGGCUGGGAGAGAUGCUUAAGCUAGCAUUCACAAGAGAAUUUGUGAUGUGCACAUCAGUGCGUACCAUCUCCUUGAAGAACGCAGACAUUUUCAAUUGGGGUGCUUAACGUUCAGGAACAGUUCAGUGUUCCAUGACCAGUUUAUUUUAUUGUUUUGUUAGCAGCAAACACAAUGGAAAGGAGCCAGAACCCCAGGUUGUUAAAACCAUCCUGCUUAAAACUGGAUAUGAGCGGCAAUCGCUCGCGACCAGAAUACCA